RNAcentral lists this ribosomal RNA (376 nucleotides) under uncultured bacterium. RNAcentral describes it as "bacterial SSU rRNA". It matches the Rfam family "Bacterial small subunit ribosomal RNA", at positions 521 to 896 of the family's 1533-position model. The record is from RNAcentral.
UAAGACGAACCGUGCGAACGUUGUUCGGAAUCACUGGGCUUGAAGGGCGCGUAGGCGGGCGACCAAGUCCGGGGUGAAAGCCCACGGCCCAACCGUGGAAGGGCCCCGGAUACUGGUCGCCUCGAGGGAGGUAGGGGCGUGUGGAACUUCCGGUGGAGCGGUGAAAUGCGUAGAGAUCGGAAGGAACGCCGGUGGCGAAAGCGACACGCUGGACCUCUUCUGACGCUGAGGCGCGAAAGCCAGGGGAGCAAACGGGAUUAGAUACCCCGGUAGUCCUGGCCCUAAACGAUGGGUACUAGGUAGUGGACUGGACAUGGGUUCACUGCCGAAGCGAAAGUGUUAAGUACCCCGCCUGGGGAGUAUGGUCGCAAGGCUG